RNAcentral lists this long non-coding RNA (2258 nucleotides) under Homo sapiens (human). RNAcentral describes it as "HSALNT0250614". The record is from RNAcentral. Lineage: Eukaryota; Metazoa; Chordata; Mammalia; Primates; Hominidae.
GCCGGGCAGAGACACAACCAAAAAAGAGAAUUUUAGGAGUCAGUGUGGGGAUUCCUCAGGGAUCUAGAACUAGAAAUACCAUUUGACACAGCCAUCCUGUUACUGGGUAUAAAUCCAAAGGAUUAUAAAUCAUGCUGCUAUAAAGACACAUGCACACAUACGUUUAUUGCGGCAGUAUUCACAGUAGCAAAGACUUGGAGCCAACCCAAAUGUCCAUCAAUGAUAAACUAGAUUACGAAAAUGUGGCACAUGUACACCAUGGAAUACUAUGUGGCCAUAAAAAAAGGUUGAGUUCAUGUCCUUUGUAGGGACAUGGAUGAAGCUGGAAACCAUCAUUCUCAGCAAACUAUCACAGGAACAAAAAACCCAAGCACCGCAUGUUCUCACUCAUAGGUGGGAAUUGAACAAUGAGAACACUUGGAGACAGGAAGGGGAACAUCACACACCGAGCCUGUCAUGGGGUGCUGGGAGUGGGGAGGGAUAGCAUUAGGAGACAUACCUAAUGUAAAUGAUGAGUUAACGGGUCCAGCACACCAACAUGGCACAUUUAUACAUAUGUAACAAACCUGUACUUGUGCACAUGUACCCUAGAACUUAAAGUAUAAUAAAAAAAAUAAAAACAUAAAAGUAAUGAGACUCUGGCAAGAGUAAAGAGUUGUAGCCAUUCUGGAGGAAUACCACAGACUUUGUUAAUUUAAAUAUAUUUAUAUCCUCUUUUCAUGAUGAAGAAAAUACUGGAAUUACAUUAACCCUCCUCAAGAAUUGGAGAUGAAGGCAAUAAAUAACCGUGUGAAAGCAUGAAGGAUCAACAGAAGAUGUAAUACUCAAGAAGCUAAGAUUCUAGAAAUAGCAAAUUCUGAGUGGAGUUUAAUAUUCUACAUACAACUCCCCCAUCAGCUGCUUGCUGACUGUGUCUUGUACCUGUCUGUGGUCAGAUCACACACAACAAAAGGGAAAGAAAGGAAGAUAACUUUUAAAGAACUAAAAGGCUAAAUAGAUUUUUUUUUUUAGUGAAACAAUACAAGAAUGAUAACAAUACCCUAGGUUUUAUUUGUAACUUUGGAAAAAACAUAAACUAGUAAUAAUGGCAAACUAGAAUAAAGCUGUGCCCAGACAUCAUCUGCUGCACAGAGAAAAAGUAAACCUUUCCUGAAAUAACACCACAACACCAGUUUGGAAGGGUAGAAAGAAAAUAAUGGCCCAAUAAAACACCAUACCCAGUGAAAAUAAGCUUCAGCAAUGAAGGCAAAAUAAAGAUUGAUCAAAAAAUAAAAAAAUGCAGAUCUUUACAAAAAUAAAUACCUUAUCUGAGAGAAUUCUUCUGACAGAAGAAUCAAGAUUCCAGAGGCAACUAGGGUAGUGCUCAAAAACAUGGUAAAUAUGUAAAAGGUUAGCUGUAUAAGUUAAUCUAAAAUAUUGACUGUUUAAAACAAUAAUGUUUACAUCUUCUGGGGUUUGAAAUAUAUGCUAAAUUUAUAAAACUAAUAGUAGAAAAAUAUAGCAAUAAAGAGAGACAAAUGUCUGAAGUCAGAUACUACUUAGUAUAUGGUAAAUAUAUUAAUUUAAAGUAAUCUCUAAUGAAUUGACAAUGUAUGUUUUAGUAUCUAGGGUAACUAUGAAGAGAAAGAGGAAAAGAAGCAGCAUUAUACCUAAGUUGCAAAUUAAUGGGGGUGAAGGCAGAAUACAAUGAAAUCUGAAGUUUUUGUGCAUUGUUUGUAUGUACGACUAUGAAAAAACACAAGAAAACUUCUGUAACUUACCACAUUCGCUGUAGAUAGGACAGAAGAGGAUGAAACCACAUAAUUUGAUGUUCCUUCCUCAGGAAACUAACCAUCAGGCAAGGAACUGAAACUCUGGAUCACCACGUGCAGACAGAUGCCAGAAUCCCUCAUCCAUCAUGAUCACUUCCUUACCCCUCCCUAAUUCCUGUUCUCCUCUCUACUUUCUCAACUAUAUACACCUCCCAAUUUUAGUCAGAGAUGGAUUUGAUAAUUUAUCUCCUGUUUUCCUAAGCUGCAGCACCUGAUUAAAAGCUUUUGCUUUGGCAAUACUCAUUGUCUCAGUGAUUGGCAUUCUGUGAGCUGAUCAGCAGGACCUAGACAGAACCUCUAGUGUUUUGGUAACAUCUUUACUUUCACCCAUUGUGUUAGCUAUAGUUAUUCUGUUACUUAAUUCCCAAUAACCUUAACUAACAAGAAUAUCCAAACAGUCUUUUCCUUCAUUACCGUAUAGAGUUUUUAGUUAUCAUUAAGAUUUGG